UCUACCUUUCCGAUAAUACCCUUAGCACAUUCACAUAUUCACCCAUUUAGCCUUCUCCCAAUUUACUUGUUGCACAUAAGACAAACCCUAUUACAUUUCACAAAUCCAAAUAAUUUUUCCUUAAUUUUCUCUUUGGAGAGAGAAAUUAAAAUUCUCAAACAACGAAUCUGCAGCUCCAUCGAUCAGAAUAUUGCUUCAAUUUCAAGGGUUGUGCAACUUGUGGGCAUAUGAGAUCUUACAGGCCAUCUACUUUGAAUGCUCAUUAUAAGAUGCGUUUUGAGGCUAUGCGAACGAAAGAAAAGAGUAAACCUGAGAGAAGAGUACAUGGCGUAGCCAUCCACGAUGAUGCUGGACGGAAGGACUUCUGUGAUAUCUCUUUGAGGAUGCUGAAGAGAGCAUCCCCCUAUAGCUCAACUGUUUUGGAUGCAUAUACUGGAACACAGAAUGUUAAUGCUGUAGGUAGGGAAGGUAAGAGACAAAGAGUGGAUCAAGCCACUUUCAGGAGAAAGGUAGAUGCUUUUGCUUACCCGGGAGUUAGUCCCAUUGAGAAAUGCACACACAAUACCUUUUACAAAGGAGUAAGUGGAUAUUAUGACUUGAACAGAGCUAAAGUCAAUACUGCUGUUACUGGCUCUAAUAUUGCUGCGAGUUCAGAAGAUAAUGAUUUUGAUUGUGAUGCUUCUUCUGUCGGGAGUUGUAGUGCUAGCAGUAUGAGGGCAGAUAAGUUUUCUAAUUUUGCUGUAGCAGUUCCUUUCCUAGGUACAGAUAUGCUUUCCACUGAUGCUGAAUCUUAUUGCCGUUCCUUUGAUGAAGUGGAGAAUCUCUCUCAUUGUUCCGAAGAAAGUGUAGAAGUAAGUAUUCAUAAGUUAGAGUUGCAUGCUUAUCGCUGCACUCUGGAGGCAUUAUAUGCUUCUGGCCCAUUAAGUUGGGAUAAAGAACUAUUAUUGACUAAUCUCCGCAUUAUGCUCCAUAUUUCCAAUGAUGAACAUUUGACAGAGCUGAAGAACCUUAUUCCGUCUGGUAGUACUCAAUAGCCUCUCCAGAUAUUAUUCUUUCUAUCGACAGAGGAUCUUAUAUUGUCCCUUUUCUUUACUCAACUGUAUGUCAAGCAAGAUAACUUAAUGUACUUGGUUUAUCCUUCUUGGAUAAUCAAAUUUGGUCCAUCUAUAGAGUUCCUGACAAUGUAAUUAGGUGUCAACAAUUUUCAAAGAAGUGAAUGUAUUUAGAUUGGUUCUUGUUUACUCCUUUUUUGUUUUUAGCAGGUUAUGCUUGAUAUACUUACUGUAAUUGAGAUGCAUAUCAGGUGAUGGAACAAUUUUUUUAAGCUUUAAGCUUAAAGCAGUAGAAGACCUGGUGCAGGUUAUUGAAAUCAUAGUGUCUGAUCUAGUGUUACUACUGCAGAUUAAACAUAUGAUCCAUGAUUAUUCUUGCAGAUAAGAUAGAAUACUUUUUUAGCAUUUCCAUUUUUCCUUAAAGAUGAAUUGAAUCAUGCAGCUUCCAAGAACUAUGUCUGUAAUUCAAGUAUGUUCAUUUUUCUUUGAAACUAGGUUUUAGCACCUUAUUUUUUGUUUGGUCCGUUGCAUCCAUUGUCAAUGCCAAUUCAGAAACUAACUGAAUUGAACAGCUAGUUCAAAACUGUUCAUUGGUAUAUUUUGGGAAAGGGAAGCUUCAGUUGACUACCGGCCUUGUGGCCUACAAUUGAAUAGAACUCUCAGACAUUUGUUUAAUAAGUUAAUACUUGCUGUGUGCUAAACCUCCUUGGAUUGUAUUCAAUGUUGAAUAUUGGCCACUUUUGUAAGUAUGGUGAGCUUCAGAGUCUUUGCAGUCCACAGCAUUUGCGGAUGUUUAAUAAGCAUCAAAUGUAUGAGAUAUUCUGUGCAGUUUAGCUUGAUUCAAUCUAAUUGUUUGAUAAUGUGUGUAUGAUCUUUUUGAUAUGUUAUUGACAGUACUCUUUCCCAGGGCUGCAUUCUGAAGCAUGCAUCCCCUGCCUAGUUGCUUCCAAAGUUUUGAUGGUGAUGCAGGCAUUUGGCUAAUCAACCUCAUUAAAUUGUUCUGCCCAACCUUACCUAUUUUUGUGAUAGCAUCAACAUUUUUUCUGCUGAGGGAAGUUAAUGAUUGUUAUCUGCUACUCCUCCCUGAUUGUAUAUAUAUUGUUAGUUUGGCUAAUUAUUGGUUUCUUUGCAUGUGUUUGCUUAGAUGCAUUAAAGUUCAUUUUGUCUUUUAUUUUCAUUCGACUAUUGGAUUUCUACUAUAACACUAACGGCUUAAAUUUGCUUUUGACUAUUAACAAGUGAGGAAGUGACCUUGCUUCCAUGUUCAUGGUGCUGUGGAAAGCAAUUAAACUAAGCUUUUCAGAAUGGAAAUGAUUUGAAUUGCCUUGUACAUUGUCCAUCGAUUUUCCGGUUUUCUUCAAAGGCGAGAGAGAUGAAAUACUUUAGUAAAUCAUUUGAAAUGCCUUGCAUAUGUUUGCUUCUAUUGCUUUCAAAAGUGGUCUUUUUCAGUUGAGAGAUCUAUUGUGUACUGCUCGUGCUGUAGUUGAGGAGAAUUUAAUUCAUUGUGUAAUACAAAGACACGAAGUUAUGUGAAACAUGGGGUUAGGGUUGGGAUCUUCAACUAUAAGAGGUCCCCUGCACUUGCAAUUUGGCCAGAUUUAUUAUUCCAUUGCAGAAUCGGGCUAGUCAUGUGUUUCUGUUGUUUUUGUUUUGAAAUUUAAGUAGUUGGUGGUUUGCAACCAUCUUUUGCAAAAAUCCCUUGAAUAAUGUUUAAAGUGCUCUCUUUGUGAAGUGCCUAGAAACUAGGGUUGAAACGAAUUGAUCUUUUUGGCAUACUGGUGUUCGCCUUUUCCUUUUUCUUGUUUUGUUGGCAAAUGACUCGGCAGACAUUUAACUAUUGGUGCUGAUUAUGCUUCUGGAAAUUGGAUGCUUUUGAUAACCUUGAAUAUGAGCAGAUCUUAGCACGAUUGAUGUGUUUUCUAGGGGUGGAAUGAAUUUUUCUAUCUUCUUGUUCAACUGUACUGAUUAAGGGUUUCCUUAUAUCAGGGCAGGAAAGUUGAAAAGUUCAAAGGUUUGAAUGAGGCUUAUAAGGAGUUGAGCAUCUCCAGUUUCUUUUUGUCCCGAACGAAGAGAACCAAUGGCAGAACUGCUCAAUUCUCUUGCAGCUGCUUGUUUUGCGAUUCACUAGCACGAUUAAAGUUGGAGACUUGAAGGCUGACAGCAUGUUGCCUCUUGGAAGAUCUGGAUGUGCCCAGGUGCAAUGUAGCUGUCAGUCUUCAUUUGUACGACUUUUCAUAGAAUAAUUGUUUCGCGUUCACUUUCGCAAUUGUGAAUAUUGGCAGUUUAGUCCCCACGAAGAGCUGUGACAUCCUGGACAGACAUUAACCUAUUAACUUCUAUCUUUUAGUUCAGCAACUAAUAUUAGCUCUGGCUUGUAUAAUCAGCAAGAUAGACUAUCCUGAUGGCUUGCAAUCACAAGGAAGUUAAAAACUAAUAAAGACGCCUAAUUUUGGGUACCU
Non-coding RNA from Coffea arabica (coffee), 3511 nucleotides. The record is from RefSeq and is a predicted model, not a curated record. Lineage: Eukaryota; Viridiplantae; Streptophyta; Magnoliopsida; Gentianales; Rubiaceae.